Molecule: ribosomal RNA, 429 nt
Filed under: Gemmatimonadota bacterium
Lineage: Bacteria; Pseudomonadati; Gemmatimonadota
Description: Gemmatimonadetes bacterium partial 16S ribosomal RNA
Rfam family: Bacterial small subunit ribosomal RNA
Source: RNAcentral
UAGGGAAUCUUCGGCAAUGGACGAAAGUCUGACCGAGCAACGCCGCGUGAGUGAAGAAGGUUUUCGGAUCGUAAAACUCUGUUGUUAGAGAAGAACAAGGACGUUAGUAACUGAACGUCCCCUGACGGUAUCUAACCAGAAAGCCACGGCUAACUACGUGCCAGCAGCCGCGGUAAUACGUAGGUGGCAAGCGUUGUCCGGAUUUAUUGGGCGUAAAGCGAGCGCAGGCGGUUUCUUAAGUCUGAUGUGAAAGCCCCCGGCUCAACCGGGGAGGGUCAUUGGAAACUGGGAGACUUGAGUGCAUGAGAGGAGAGUGGAAUUCCAUGUGUAGCGGUGAAAUGCGUAGAUAUAUGGAGGAACACCAGUGGCGAAGGCGGCUCUCUGGUCUGUAACUGACGCUGAGGCUCGAAAGCGUGGGGAGCAAACAGG